Nyctereutes procyonoides (raccoon dog) is the source of this 1584-nucleotide long non-coding RNA. RefSeq lists it as uncharacterized. The transcript has 3 exons. The record is from RefSeq and is a predicted model, not a curated record. Lineage: Eukaryota; Metazoa; Chordata; Mammalia; Carnivora; Canidae.
GGCCUUUUGACACACAGAGUAAGAGGAGACAGACUCAUCUUUGGAGUUCCUUAUUUUUAUGGAUGGAUUUAAUGAUCAGUUCCUUUUACCACUGAAUGGAGCGCCCACCGGACACAGGCCAUGGAAGAAGAUUAUCUGUAUCUUAUUUGUUUAUUCACUCUUUUGGAAGGAAGAAGUAUUAUUAUAGCUUUUCAAAGCCUUAGGAACACAGAAAUGAGGAGUCCUGAGAAGAAGAAUGGGGGUAACAGAUUCUAAAGGGAAAGUCUCUGCACAAAAUCAGAGGAAGGACUCCGUCAUGAUCUAGAAUCACCCUUCUACAAAUGGAAGAACUCAAAGAGAGCUCACGGUCUAUGGGGGGUGGGGUAGAGUGAGUGCUGCUGGGAUCUCUUAGGAAAUCUACAUCAGCCUCCCAGAUACACGGGAAUCAGCAGCCCCCAAAUACCAGCUGGUGAAUGUUUCUAAUCUUUAUUAUUCUUUGGAUCUUCUUUCCUAAAAGAUAUGCCCUUGAAAUUUAUACUGUCAUAAAAAUACCUAGGAUUGGUUUUCAUGAAUAUCCAUUAACGUACUUCUAAUUUUGUUCAGAUAAAAUAACCUUCUCACAGUACCACACCUUGGCUUGAGCUGUAAGACAAUAGCCAGGUAUGGCCGUGACAGCAUGGUGACAGUUGGCCCAAGAAGUAGAGGUUCUAUUCAAGGUGAGAAGAAAUGCUGAAAGCAUGGUAUAUAACUGGGCCUUCUCACCCAACACAAGAGCCUUUGCAAAAAGUAGAGUCAUACUUAUAUGAGAGAUUUUUAAACAGCAAUUUGAAAGAAUAAAACUAGAAGCCUCAUGAGGAGCCACUACGAUUGGAGAUUUCCACAUUCAGAGACCCUUCAGGCCAUUUCAUGAAUAAGAGGGUCAUCCCUACAGCACCUGCCUUGUGGCCUAUAGGAGCUAUUUAGGUUAAUACAAAGAAGCAUGAAAAAGCAGAGCACCACACAGGCAAAACCAUGCAUCUGGGUUUUCCCACAGGAUCACUGUGGGCUGUCCUAUGUCUCAUGUCAGUUAUUAAAAAUUUCACUAAUACACAAUUGAACCUACGUAGAGUCAUGCUCUACAGUUUCUGGUUUAAUGGUCUGAACAGUUUUCACACAGCCUGAAGGAGGGCUUGAAUCAGAGUAAUCUGCAUCUAGGGGAGGUGAGGCAAGGUGUCCAGGUUUACCAUCUAUCUCACCUCCAUCUGGAGACAGUCUUUCCAAAUGGGUCUGCACACAGGUGAGGGCCAUGCAAAUCUCCCUGGCCCUCCAGAAUGACACCAGCCCUGCAAGUGUAGUUGCAGAGCAAAAUGAGGAAUCCCUUCUCCCCACCCAUGAUAUUGGAGGAGGCAGAAACCAAAAGCAGCAUCCAAUAUUGAACCAAGAAUCCCCUUGGGUUGUUCAUGAACUGUGGUGCUUGAACAAAGUCAGAAGGUACGGCUUGAAAAUCUGCCCGAGCGAGUAUUUCAAUUCAGAGCUUCAUCUAAAUGUCACCUUGUCAAAUUUUGAAGUUUAAUGCUAAACAACAGCUGUGUGUGGCACAGAAAUCACCAAGAGACAGAAAAAUAA